This 1150-nucleotide long non-coding RNA is filed under the name Felis catus (domestic cat). RNAcentral's name for it is "lncRNA (ENSFCAG00000052599.1)". The record is from RNAcentral. Lineage: Eukaryota; Metazoa; Chordata; Mammalia; Carnivora; Felidae.
GCUCUUAUGUUAAACAUAAACCUCAGUAAAUUUGUUGUAGAAACUCCUCUCCCUUUCCUCCUACUUUUGUUAUUUGGGUGUGUUUCCCUCAUGUGUUUGUCCCUGGUCCCUGUUAGAAGGUGUCUGGGCUGAGGCUGACCACGGGCCCACACUGCCUCCCUGUGCCGAGUUUGUGCAUAACACUCAGAGAAGCUGCUCCCUAAGGCUGCAGAGGAUGAGAGCUCAGGGGGUCAGUCCUGUCCCAGAGGCUCACCACUGUCGUUUACUCAGCUUUUCAUAUGGGGAGGCUGGCUUCACUAGGAAGGAUGUAAGAUAAAGCACUCAUGUUCCUUUCAUACAGAGCCACAUCGAGGGGAGAGGAGAGGGUCUGUGUUGAGGACCUGCCUCUACUUGCCUCCCGGGCUUUAGGCAAGGGACGGAGACCUCUACCUGUUCCCGUUGGUGACCCCAUGGCAUGGUAUGCCUUAAGUUCUGGUUACCUUUGUGACCAAGCCCACACCAUCCUUCCAGAGGGCUCCUGCAUAUCCUGGGCUCCGUCCAGACUCGGACCAAAUACGCCACCUCUGCGUGCCCUGAGCCUGAAGUCAGUCACCUUCCCCGGAGUCCAGUGAUUCGUACGUAUCGCAUCUUAGUCUCCCGUAGCACAUGUCGCAGUGGCCUGGCAUAUUGAAGGGUCUCGGUGUAUGCUUGUGGGUGAACGCAAAAGUGGUCCCAGUCCCAUGAUUUGGGAAGUGGUUAAGAUGGUGGAAGGAAGGUUAGAGAGGAAGCAGCAAAAGAGCAAGCGUAUGAAGAGGACUUUAACCCCCCAGUGUCCCCGUCCUCCCAAAGCCAAGGAAGAGAGAGGGACACUCCUUCCCCUCUGAUUGUCAUGUUGGGUUUCCCAUGGUUCUCCAUGCCAAGUCCUCUUGAACUCACACCUAUAGCUUUACUAACUUGGCCCACCCCCAACCUGUAUUGACUUUGGCAGCCAAGUGCCCCGGAUCAUGGUGAGAGCUCCUCAGGACCUUUUCACUGAGGCCCAAAGACCAAAUUCAAAUCCGGGAUACAUGAUUUAUUGGCGUGGGGUCUUAGGCAAGCCUCUCCACCUCUUGGAGCUUCCGUUCCCUCAGUUGUGAAAUCAACAUGGAGGCCGGUGUAAAAACCAUACCUG